This is a long non-coding RNA of Xenopus laevis (African clawed frog), 2046 nucleotides long. RefSeq lists it as uncharacterized. The transcript is spliced from 3 exons. NCBI's taxonomy places the organism in Eukaryota, Metazoa, Chordata, Amphibia, Anura, Pipidae. The record is from RefSeq and is a predicted model, not a curated record.
UCCCCCCCUUCCCUUCAGUUAACUACUUGUGUAACGCUGCAAGGGAAAAAAAAAUGUCUAUGAUAGUGAUGUUUAACUUGCUACCAUUCAACUAUCGCAGAACGACAGCCGGCACCAUCCACUGGACCAGAUUCGGACUGUGCCAUCAGAGCCUCCAGAGAUCAGGUAAUCCCAAUUGUGAUUGAAGGUUACACACUGAGUGAACAUCAUCCUCGUGUCUGUCCAGGCUCUCCAGCUGAGAGGACCAACAGCUUGACUGAGCCGUCAUUGCUAGCCAGGGAAACCAACUGACCUGCAGAAAAAAGGAAAUCGGAGAGGACAAAUAAUCUAAAAGAUCAAUUGUUGUCUUUAGAACAAAGUAUGGACAACUUGGCAUUUAUACCGGAGACAUUUGAAAUAACCUACAAAGAAAUCUAAUAUUCUAGAAUUUUUGUGGCGACAUAUGUGCUAGACUUUCACCGUGUGGUUUAUUUUUCCACAAACACCACAGUUUGUUGUGCUGAAAAAAUGCAGAUGUUAUAAUUAUUUGCCACUUGCCUUCCAUAUCAACCAAUGGGCAACAUAUUUGGAAGAAAUUGGCAACAGGAAAGCCUUGUUUUUUUAAGAAGAACAGUUCUAGCACAUUGGAGAGGAGCUUCUCUUACAAGACUGAUCAAUGUUUAUGCUAGUGCAGAUAUAAAAACACAACCAUACUAUCAUUUUGUAUCAGUGACACAAAAUGAUGCAUGUUCACUUUUCACUACUGAGGAUCUUUUUCAAAUUAUACAUGUUCUAAUACAAUGUUUGAUGGUGUAUAGACAACAGAAGUACCUACAGUAUGUACUUGAGCCAGAACUGGGAAUUCCUGAAGAUGUUGUUCACUUCAAAAUAAAUAAUACAGAAGGGCUUUUGGGAGGAAAUAGGAAAACAUUAUGGAAACACUUCAUCAAACAAUGGAAUAAUCACAAUAAACUUCAAACUAUAAAAAACUAUAAAACUUGGGGAACCCAAGGUUUAUAUUUAUACAUUCAUCUAUAAAUAUAUUUAUUACAAAAAUGUAAAUGGAGAUAAGGUGCUGUAUCUCUUUAAAGUGAAUGUAAACCUUCCAAAGAGGCAAUUACAACAGAAGUACAGAUAGAAUAGGUAUCAUCCCUACUACCUCAACUACUACCUGGUUGUUUUCUGACAAUACUGUGUCAUUUUUAUUUUAUGGAGCUAUUGCUUUGUCAUCCAAUAAACUGUAGAAUCACUUCUAUCAAAAAUCUGUGUCUUUUCAUCAGUUGCUGAACUAUGGCUCCUAUUACCUCAAUAUAACAAAGAGCUGAUGGGUGAUUCUGGUAGUUAUAUUCAGCUACAGCUGAAAAGCCAGAGGUUUCUGAUCCUUGCUCUGUGGAGAAGCAUGACCAUUCUCCUUGUAGCAGGUAAAUUGCCUGUGUUGCUUGCUAGUGCUUAGUCUAUAUUUGCCUUAAAUUCAACAGAGCUGAAUCUCCCCUUAAAUAUUACAAAUACCAAUUUGUCAUUCCAUCACCUUACACAUACUGUAAAGAAGGAACUAAUAAAAUGAUGCAUUAAGCCUGAUCUUCACAUUGCAUCGUACAGCACUAUGUUAUUGUCAAUGUUAAUGUCUAGAGAUCAGUCCCUAACAAGAAAUUAUGUUGCACGUGUCCUUGUUUUACAUGUUUAACAAUACAUGGAACCAAAUUCCCUAGAGCAGAUGGGAGACAAUGUGUUUCAUUCAUUAUUCAAAUAGCAACAAACAUACUACGUGCGGCUGUAGCCUUCUUAAAUGUGAGUGCUAUUGACCAGCCAAGGAAUGUGAUAAGCGUAAUCAGCUUGCCAGUACCUAAGCCAAUCAUUAUAAAAAUUACACAAACAGAUUUUUUCUCCAAGCAAACUCUCAAACCACACAAAGUCCACAAUCCACUGAGGUUACCUUUCAUUGUAUGAAAACUCACAGAAGGUUUUGGAUGAAAUAAACAUAAGUUUCUUUCCUAUACAUAAACUGCACAUUUUCUAGAUUACUGAAUUGAAAAUGAGAUCUCUCUGGUUUGGAAAGCCAAGCAAUGC